This is a long non-coding RNA of Mesocricetus auratus (golden hamster), 2480 nucleotides long. RefSeq lists it as uncharacterized. Lineage: Eukaryota; Metazoa; Chordata; Mammalia; Rodentia; Cricetidae. The record is from RefSeq and is a predicted model, not a curated record. The transcript is spliced from 2 exons.
AAACGAAAGCAAAUUUGCUGAUUCUCCAAAUAUUGACUUUUAUUGGCGAAUAAGAGUGUUGCAACAAGGAUGUGCUAGACCCUGCCACAGUGAGCUGUUAACUUAUUCAAAGAACCUGAUGCAAAUGGAGAUUUUUUAACUUAAAAUUUUUCAGCUCAUAUGGGAUAUUAAUACUGUACAUAUUAACAGGGCAAUGGAUGUUUCCACGCAUGUAUACAGAUUGUAUACAUCACAUGAUGUAUGGUGUAGAUUGAGUUAACAUAGUUACCUCUUCAAGCAGCUAGCGUUACCUUUUGAGAUAUGCAUUGCACUGUUACCAUAUUCCUCUCUGUGCAUGGGUGAGAGUGUUACCACCGGGAGCUUCUUAAAGGCAAAAACAAAGCAAUUUCAAGAGAUGUUUUGAAACAAUUAAGUGAGCUUUGUUUUAGGUAACUUUUCCCAGAUGCCAGCUAACAUACAACACACUUAGCUGUAAUAUUUGGUUGGUUAAGUGUCUUGGUGCAUUUCAUUUUGGGUGAUUUUGUGGUUGAGAUGCAUCCUCGUGUUUGGUUAAGGAACAUAUAUAUUUAGACCAGAACAGUGUCCAUGCUUGCUGCCUCCCUAGGAUUCCCUAAGAGUCAUCUUACUGAGCUAAGGAGAACAAAGGACUAGGACAGGCCUGAGAAUCAUCCCUUAGUAUUUCUUAAGGUUACCCUUCAGUGGGGAAUGUAGGCUUGACUUCCCAUUUGCUAGUUUAUUGACGUACACUUUCCGUCAAACAAUGGAAACUGUGAACCCUGUUGACUACUGGUUGUCAUGCUCAGUGCUAGGACAUGAAUGCAUUCUGUUGAAUGGAAGACACAAUGAUUUGGGCAAAUCCUAGGGAAAAAAAAAUGUGUUGUUGUUGUUGUUUUUCAAGACAGGGUUUUUCUGAGUAGCUUUGGAGCCUAUCCUGGCACUCACUCUGUAGACCAGACUGGCCUCGAACUCACAGAGAUCCGCCUGCCUCUGCCUUCCAAGUGCUGGGAUUAAAGGCGUGCACCACCAACACCCAGCGAAAAAUACAAGUUUUAUAGCUUUCGUGCACCACUAACACCCAGCGAAAAAUACAAGUUUUAUAGCUUUCAUUUAAAAAACUAUUUUUGUGACACUCUUUUAUCAAGACCAAAUGGAUCUGUUUCAGAUUGACUUGAUCACUGUUGCAAGAUGGUAAACACUACAGGAAUGUAGGACUAUGACCCUGUUCAAUUGGAGCACAAUGAGAUCAUCUGGAAAUCAUCAGCAAACAAUGACCCAGCAUGUGGGAAGCACUGGAAUAAUUUGAGUUCAAGGACUGCAGGAGAAUCCAGGUGGACCUGAGACUUUAAUGAGCCAUGAGUGUUCCAGCAUCUUCUCCUGCUCUCAGUGUCUCCUUAAUGUUCACUUGGUGCUAAGCAGGGGCAGUGGAGACAGAGACAACCGACUGCCUGAGCUAUUUUCUCCGGAACCAUCAAGAGCUGAUUCUGCAUUGUGGUGGGAAAGACCCUGCUCAGCUGACGUUCAACCACAGCUUCGCUUGUUUUCAGAUUCAGCAAAGAGUGCAUUGCUUAGAAAGAGAGAAAUGCCUUCAGCUAUAGGAAAUUCUUCCUAUCCAGCCUUCUAAGAAGUGAGCUCUGCCCAAUACCUUGUGUAGAUUCAUCAGUGAAAGUGCUAACUAAAGGAUGGAUUUCCACACCUCUGCCUUACUGUCCAGGAAUUUCCAGAGCAACACUAUUGCCCAAGGAAGCACAAGAAACAGCAGGCACGGUUUCAGCCUCUUUCGGAAUGCAUCAUUGUUCUGCACAAUCAUAUACUGGAACCAGUAAAGUUCGCACCCUUUCUUGAGACACCUUGUGUUUUCUUUCUGGCCAUGAAGGAACUAAAGUCCAACUAAUUGUGAGAUGUGAGUCCUCCCCACAGUAGCUUUCCUCUCAGCCCAUUAGAACCCUACUACCCCAAUGACAUAGUCACAGCUUACACCAGGUUCCAGACAGCCAGAUUGCUGCACAGCUCCCUAAGCACCUAACUGAUCAUUUUUUACAUAUCUGUACAUUAACUUUCCUCUGUCUGGCUGCUUGUCUGUCCUUUAACCCUUAGCACAUGUGUUGUCCCUUCAUCUCAAUGCUCUGUCUCCCUUCCUAGAAAGCUCUCCUGACCUUUCCCUGUUGUCAGGGCCGAUAAAAUUGGCUCUGCUUCAUCUUGACUUGAGGUCAGAGAGUUCAAGCCCACUAUUGCUCUUUCAAGGUGAAACAACAGAAGGUUUGGCCUAAGGUGUGGCUUGUGUGGCUUGCCUUGACAACGGGGUAUUUGUUUUAGGAUGCACUUAGUUGAUAUUUUGGGCUUUAAGAAGGUAAUUAUGCUUGCUUGUUCUUUGUAUCUUGGUAAGGAAGUCUUUUGCCUUCCCCUACUUUUGGUUGGGAUAUAUAAGAACUUUGAAUAAUAAACUUGGGGCUCAUCCUGAUAUUCCCCAGGUGCUCUACCAA